UACGAAGGGAGCUAGCGUUACUCGGAAUUACUGGGCGUAAAGCGUGCGUAGGCGGCUUUGUAAGUCGGAAGUGAAAGCCCAGGGCUUAACCUUGGAAUUGCUUUCGAAACUGCUUAGCUAGAGUAUCAGAGGGGAUGGCGGAAUUCCUAGUGUAGAGGUGAAAUUCGUAGAUAUUAGGAGGAACACCGGUGGCGAAGGCGGCCAUCUGGCUGAUAACUGACGCUGUUGCACGAAAGCGUGGGGAGCAAACAGG
This 253-nucleotide ribosomal RNA is filed under the name uncultured bacterium. RNAcentral describes it as "partial 16S ribosomal RNA". It matches the Rfam family "Bacterial small subunit ribosomal RNA", at positions 524 to 776 of the family's 1533-position model. The record is from RNAcentral.